Molecule: ribosomal RNA, 254 nt
Filed under: uncultured bacterium
Lineage: Bacteria
Description: partial 16S ribosomal RNA
Rfam family: Bacterial small subunit ribosomal RNA
Source: RNAcentral
UACAGGGGUCCCAAGCGUUGUUCGGAUUCACUGGGCGUAAAGGGUGCGUAGGCGGUCGGGUAAGUCUGAUGUGAAAUCUCACAGCUUAACUGUGAAACUGCAUUGGAUACUAUCCGGCUAGAGGAAUGGAGGGGAGACUGGAAUACUUGGUGUAGCAGUGAAAUGCGUAGAUAUCAAGUGGAACACCAGUGGCGAAGGCGAGUCCUCGUGGACAUUCCUGACGCUGAGGCACGAAAGCCAGGGAGGCAAACGGG